UGGCAUUGAGAUUCGAAAAGUUUUGGUUGCAGCAGCUAUAAGCAUCACAGCCUUCAACAUUGACAACAACUCCAUUUAUUUUGAUGGCACACAGGUUUCAAGUGGAGUAAGCCACAACAUCAGUCUCAUCACUGCAUCCUUCCUUGUGCUGAUGUCAUGGAUCCUGUCAAGCCAGCAAUAACAUCAUUGCUGAUUACUGUUUGAAUUUGCAUUAUUGCAUGACUGCCAUCACUGGCAUGAACAAUUAGUUAUUGAUUAUUGUUGAAGAAGUCUUGUACAGCUUCAGAUAAACUUACUAUCACAUUUCAUUUUGCAAUUACUGCACAUAUUUAAGACAGUGGAUUAGGUUUAUGUCAAUCUUAACACGUUUCUGGGUUUCACUUUAUUCCAUAUCAUUACAUUACAUUGCAUAGAAAUAUCAGAGAGCAUAUUGUAAAGGGAACAUGUGUCUAAAGCUAAUUAAAGGAACAACACUGCAGGUCAUCAUGAGUCGUGGAACCAACCGUGAACCAAAUCGUUUUAUCAUCAUGAUAUAUACGGCAUAUAUGUCAAAACAUUGUACUGUCAAUUUGUUUUAUUUAUUCAAGGUGUAUUCAUGUAUUCAUGCAUAGCUGUAUUCUGUGAGAUUUCUAAAUGUUUGUACAAUAUUUGUCAGAAACUUUACAAUGAU
Long non-coding RNA from Cyclopterus lumpus (lumpfish), 670 nucleotides. RefSeq lists it as uncharacterized. The transcript is spliced from 3 exons. The record is from RefSeq and is a predicted model, not a curated record. Lineage: Eukaryota; Metazoa; Chordata; Actinopteri; Perciformes; Cyclopteridae.